UACGGAGGGGGCUAGCGUUGUUCGGAAUUACUGGGCGUAAAGCGCGCGUAGGCGGCUUUGUAAGUUAGAGGUGAAAGCCCAGGGCUCAACCCUGGAAUUGCCUUUAAGACUGCAUCGCUUGAACAUCGGAGAGGUAAGUGGAAUUCCGAGUGUAGAGGUGAAAUUCGUAGAUAUUCGGAAGAACACCAGUGGCGAAGGCGACUUACUGGACGAUUGUUGACGCUGAGGUGCGAAAGCGU
This 239-nucleotide ribosomal RNA is filed under the name uncultured bacterium. RNAcentral's name for it is "partial 16S ribosomal RNA". It matches the Rfam family "Bacterial small subunit ribosomal RNA", at positions 524 to 762 of the family's 1533-position model. The record is from RNAcentral.